Molecule: long non-coding RNA, 3235 nt
Organism: Triplophysa rosa
Lineage: Eukaryota; Metazoa; Chordata; Actinopteri; Cypriniformes; Nemacheilidae
Exons: 3
Source: RefSeq, a predicted model, not a curated record
ACCAGACACAGACGGCGUAUUUCAUUUGUGUGGUUAAAGAGUGUCUUUAAAUGCAAUAUACCAUAUUAAUCAACUACAGUGCGCGAAGGCAACCGGACGAGACCCGAGUAUGAAAGCAAAGCGCUAAAUGCGCGCCUGUCCGCGGUCAGCCUUGCUGAAUGGAAUGGAUAAUAUUAUAGAGGAUUAUUUUCGUUGUGGUUUCACAAAUAGAGAAAUCUUGAUUUUAUUGGAGGAGUCACACAAUAUAAAACUAAGCCUCCGGACUCUUGAAAGAACGUUACAGAGGAAUCGGUUGUGGCGGAGACGCAAUAAAACAGAUGUUGCCGAAGUCUCAUAUUUUAUUCACCAACAGCUGCAAAUAUCUGGACGUCAACAUGGCUAUCGAUGGAUGCAUCAAAAAUGCUGGAUGUAUGGGAUUAUCACGGACAGAGAAACUGUCCGCCAGUUGAUGCACCUGUUAGAUGGACAAGGGGUGGAUCUUCGUUCGCGUGGUCGUCUGCGUCGAAGCGUGUAUAACAGUCGUGGUCCAAAUUAUGUUUGGCAUAUUGACGGUUAUGACAAACUAAAACCUUACGGAAUAUGUAUAAACGGAUGCAUCGAUGGUUUUUCCAGAAAAAUCAUCUGGUUUGAGGCCAACAAAACUAACAAUGACCCACGAGUAAUUGCCGGUUAUUAAGUAAAUGCUGUUGCUGAAAAUAACGGCUACCCGCAAAGAAUCCGAAUUGACCGUGGAACAUAUAGCAGAAAUGCAGAUAUUUUUCAGAGAAGCUGCAAAUGCAGAAUGUGUCACAAUUGGUCCAAGCACUGGAAAUCAAAGAAUUGAACGAUGGUGGUCAACGCUGAGAAGCCAAUGCAUUCAAUUUUGGAUGGAUCAUUUUGAACAACUUAAAGAAGACGGACACUUUGUUGGCAGCUUUAUUGACAAAUCUCUAAUUCAGUUUUGCUUUUUAACAUUUUAUUCAGGAGGAUCUUGAUGAAACAGUCAGUGCUUGGAAUUGCCACAGGAUAAGGCCAACCCACGUGCUCCCAGUGGUGUUCCCAGUUUAUAUGGAGUGCAGAAUUUCUUAUAUCCAGUUGAUCAAACAAAACUGAGAAUUUGCAGAGAAGACUGUAUAUUUAAAGACUACCCUUGUGGAUGUAUGGAUGAGGAUGUCUUUCAACUUUGUGUGGAACUGAUGGCUGAACAUAACCUUGUCAUGACGAAUGAUGUUUAUGAAAUUACGGACUCUUACCUGAGACUUCGUCAACUGAUUCUUCAUGGACUGGAAAUGGAUGAAUAGAUCAUAACCAAAAUAAUGUACAGUAUUCACUGUAUAGUCCAUUUGAAAUUUGCCUAAUAUUGCCAUUUCAUUUUUACCUCAUGGUGUUGAAUUACAGCCAGGCUUCUUUCUCUUCAAGUAACCUCGGACCAGUGGAGGAAAUCUAAUUUCAGUUACCAUUACCAUACUAUACCUGCUUAACUGAGCAUUUUUUUCAUUCUUCUGGUAAUUUUAUUGUAUGGUGUUGGGUUGGGUAUUUUGUAUGCUCUGUAAUAUUACGCUAGAAAAAUGUUUAAAUGUUUAUUCAUAAAGCGGCGUAUGAAGUCCUCCUUAACAAAGAAUAUACUGUAUUGGCAAAAACAUACUUUAAUUUGAUAUGAUUAUUUGCUUGAAUUUAUAUUUAUUAUUUUGUCAUUUGUAAUGAGAUGACUGAACAUUAUAGGCCUAGAUGAUGUUGAACUGACGUUUUACUCUAGUUUAAUUUUAAAAACGAAUAUUUAAAUAAGAGAAGAGGGUAAUGUCUGUGUAAAUAUUUAAGUCUUACAGAAAGCUGCAAACAUAUCCAUUCUUAGUUCCAGGACCGAGAGACAGAUUCUGAACACACUUUGACCAAAGAGUAUGUUUUCACAUACAUAAUGCUUAACAAAUAAAAAAGAAUAGUGAGAAUGGCCCCCUAUACUGAAGUGUUAUCCUUUCACAUUGUAACUCACUCAUCAUCAUAUCCCUUAUGAGAAUUAACCAUGUUUUAACCACGGUUUAACUAGUAAGUAUGCGUUUUUAACUAUAGUAAAACCAUGCUUAAUUUUCGUAAGUGUUCAAACAACGUCAUAUUUAGCUAAUUUUCUUUUACAAAAUGACCAUAUUUAAAAAGCAUUGUCUACUAGCGUACCUGAAUUUGAAUCGACCUUUGUAGAGAGCAUCAACUAAUCUCUUGAUAAGAGCAACGUGAUCAACGGCGUAAGAUUGGCCCUUUAUCAUACUGAUACAAGGUAACACACUCAAGCUACGUGGUUGGAUUUAUUCACAUUUUAUUUGUUACAAGACGGUUUUUAAUAGAAUUCAAAUCAUUGUAAUAUACCUCGUCGCCGCAAGAUGUAAUCCACAGCUCUGUUGACGAUAAAGUGUAAGGUGCCUAGUGUGCAUUAACCGAUGCAUCACAUGGCAUCCAAGUGCUGACCGCGGACAGGCGCCAUCAAUUGGAUGUGACAGAAAAACAUGAAAUGCGAGAACUAAACUCAAAAGUAAGAGAAAUAAAGUCACAAUUGUGAGAUAUAAAGUCGCAAUUCUGAGAAACAAAGUGGCAAUUCUGAGAAAUAAAGUCGCAAUUCUGAGAUAUAAAGUCAGAAUUCUGAGAUAUAAAGUUGCAAUUCUGAGAAAUAAAGUCACAUUUUGGAGAAAUAAACUUGCAAUUCUGAUAUAUAAAGUCAGAAUUCUAAGAUAUAAAGUUGCAAUUCUGAGACAUAAAGUCACAUUUUUGAGAAAUAAAGUCACAAUUCUGAGAUAUAAAGUCGCAAUAACCGUAUUUAUUUUUUCUCACUGGCGGAAUCAAGCUUCCAUAUAGAAAGCGAUUUGCUAGUUGUAACUUGUAUUUCUAUUCUGCGCUCACUAUUGAGUUAGUUUAGGAUCUGGGCUUAUAAGACAAUAGUGGCAACAUUUAUUUAAGGUGUUAUCUUUCAUAUUUGUGUAGUUAAGCAGAAAAAUAUCUCGUUAUGCUGCUGUAGAAAAAUGUUAUGUCAAUGCUGCAUAAAAUCUCUCUAGACGUGAGUAAUACAGACCCUUGCAAAAUGAAGAUAAUACAAAACAAAGAGGUUGGUGUUCAUUCUUGAUUCUUCAUUAAUUAUUGGUGAGGAACAUAAAGUAAAACCCCUUAGUACUUUAUGAAUCACUACAAGUCUUUGUUAAGAUUUUAUGGUCUUGAAACAAAAUUGAAAACUACGUAAUAUAGAAAGUAAAAUAGCACAGUAAACAUUCUUCUC